GAUGAAGAACGUAGUGAAAUGCGAUAAGUAGUGUGAAUUGCAGAACUCAGUGAAUCAUCGAAUCUUUGAACGCACAUUGCGCCCCUUGGUAUUCCAUGGGGCAUGCCUGUUCGAGCGUCAUUUGUACCUUCAAGCUCUGCUUGGUGUUGGGUGUUUGUCUCGCCUCUGCGUGUAGACUCGCCUCAAAAUAAUUGGCAGCCGGCGUAUUGAUUUCGGAGCGCAGUACAUCUCGCGCUUUGCACUCAUAACGACGACGUCCAAAAGUACAUUUUUACACUCUUGACCUCGGAUCAGGUAGGGAUACCCGCUGAACUUAAGCAUAUCAAUAAGCGGAGGA
RNAcentral lists this unclassified non-coding RNA (337 nucleotides) under soil metagenome. RNAcentral's name for it is "partial contains 5.8S ribosomal RNA, internal transcribed spacer 2, and large subunit ribosomal RNA". The stretch from base 1 to 120 matches the Rfam family "5.8S ribosomal RNA", at positions 35 to 154 of the family's 154-position model. The record is from RNAcentral.